GGAUUGUAGGCUGAAACUCGCCUACAUGAAGCUGGAGUUGCUAGUAAUCGCGAAUCAGAAUGUCGCGGUGAAUACGUUCCCGGGUCUUGUACACACCGCCCGUCACACCAUGGGAGUCGGAUAUGCCCGAAGUCAGUGACCCCAACCAUAUGGGAGGGAGCUGCCGAAGGUGGAGCCGAUAACUGGGGUGAAGUCGUAACAAGGUAUC
Molecule: ribosomal RNA, 208 nt
Filed under: uncultured bacterium
Lineage: Bacteria
Description: partial 16S ribosomal RNA
Rfam family: Bacterial small subunit ribosomal RNA
Source: RNAcentral